Molecule: long non-coding RNA, 622 nt
Organism: Stylophora pistillata
Lineage: Eukaryota; Metazoa; Cnidaria; Anthozoa; Scleractinia; Pocilloporidae
Source: RefSeq, a predicted model, not a curated record
CUAAUAACUUAAGACGCUAAUCAACUCUACACGUUUCUGUCAAGAAGGGUGAAGCUUAUGUGAGCAGCAUCUUGGUUUCUAAGGUUGUUUCUUUUGUGCUCUGAUAAUUCACCCGGACAACCGAUUGACAGCAAGAAGACGGUAAAUACUGAACAUCUUGAACGUACUUAAGUGCUUUUUCCUUUUUGGCAAGUUAUCAGACUCUGUCUAACACCGUCAUUGAAAAGCGUUGAAGAAAAUGACAUCAAAACAGUAGAAGUAACUUCAGAUUAUUUACGUUGAUGACUGGCCAAGAGUUUCAAGGAUACUUAACACCGGAACGGAGAAGAAAAGAUCCUUUUACUAGAAAUACGCCCAAGUGUUUGUGGAUAUAUCACAUCAGUUCAAAAUCGCUUAUUCACAGCCAUCCAUUUUGAACAGCUGAGACUCCAUAGAUCGAGCUGGUGAGAAAAAAUGCGCAGGGAAGGAAACGGAAAAUAAAUACAGGAAAAGGUUACAUGAUAACACUUUCUAAUUCAGGAUGUCUACUGCUUUUGCCAUAACAACAGUACUGCUCCUACUCGUUUUGGUAGAUGUCAUUGGAAAUUCGCUCGUUUGUGCGAUAAUAUGGAAAAAUAGAAAU